This is a long non-coding RNA of Puntigrus tetrazona (Sumatra barb), 760 nucleotides long. RefSeq lists it as uncharacterized. The transcript is spliced from 2 exons. NCBI's taxonomy places the organism in Eukaryota, Metazoa, Chordata, Actinopteri, Cypriniformes, Cyprinidae. The record is from RefSeq and is a predicted model, not a curated record.
UUGAUAGCUAGGUAGUUACAUUAUUGUUUUCUGUGGGGACAAGCAACUUUGUGGUGCAAAUAAUACAUUCACACUGAUGGCUCAAGGUGGUGUUAAUUUAAAAUUUAAAUAUAUUUUAAAACUGACGUGUUUUUCAAGUGUUAAGGCUAAGUACAGGAAAAAUUUACACUUUCCAUAGAAUGACACUUAUAUACUUGAAAGUGUUUCAUGCUUUUACAUUACUCAGCUCUCUUUGCACUUUCAGUAUUGCCAGUAAACAUGCAUUCACACAGGUGACUUCCCGAAACAAACUUAACAUGUUUAUUACUGUUGACUCUGCAGUUGGCAAAAAACUCCUUUAAACACACCCACAAGCACAACAAUACGGAGUCAGAAGAAGCAAAGAGACACUUUUUUAUUAUUUAUUUUAAAGCAAAAAGAACAAAAAGAAUUCUUUCCUCCCCCCAAAAAGUAGAACAAAACAUAAGGGAAAAUGUGAAACUGCACAAAACCUUUUGCAUUCAUUUUUUUAAAUUUAAAAUUCCAAUAUAUAAUAUUUAGCUGUUUUUUUGUGAUUUAGUGACAUUUACUUGCCAUUAAACAUUUGCAGAAACAUUCUGGAACACAUAAAGGGAAGGAAGGUGGAGCUUAGCUCUAAAAGCGAUGAUGUCACAAUAGCCACUAUCCAAUUAGGGGGAGGCACGAAGGAGACUAGUGUCUGUAUGUGUGUGUGUGUGUGUGUGUGUGUGUGUGUGUGUGUGUGUGUGUAAGAGAGAGAGAG